Molecule: non-coding RNA, 998 nt
Organism: Neolamprologus brichardi
Lineage: Eukaryota; Metazoa; Chordata; Actinopteri; Cichliformes; Cichlidae
Source: RefSeq, a predicted model, not a curated record
UAAGAAGAAGAGUAUGGCUAUCCCACUAGCGUUGUUUUUAUCGAUAGUUGUGUCAGUCUGCUGAUUUCAGCUCCAUCACGGAGGUUCUCUCUGAUUGUGGGCUCAUCUAAAGCUGAGUAACAAGUCUGGUGGAGAAGCAGAGGAACAAUUUCAGCCAUUUGGACUCAGCUCAGCCACUACAGAGGAAACAAUGACUUCAACACAAAAGGUACACGCGAUGUUGACCAGCUGGCGUUUAGGAGUCAUGUAAGAGCGAAUUCCAGCUGGGGUCCACCGUGCUUCAACAUUUCGGGGAGGACCUCAUCCAAGCCAGGGGCCUUUCCACUCUUGAGGACUCAGAUCAUUGUCUUGACUUCGGUAACACAGAUUUGUCCAAUAUCGACUGGAAAAAGCUCCAUGGAGGGUGGCAGGUCUUCAGCCACCUGGUCCUGAACCGACUUCGCCAAACUACAUUCAUCAAUGGGGUCCCAUGAAUGGUGGGAGGUACGAGUCGUAUUCAUGUUAAAGCUGGGCCAGUUUACCAGUUUGUAACGGAGUCUGUACAUUCCAUAUUCCAUAACGGGUAGUUUCUUUUGGGUCGAAAUUUGAUUGACGCAUCGAGCAGGUAACGACCUGAGGGCUUUCCUCCACUGCUGUCAUCAAGGGUUGCCGAUCAUCUUCGCCCUGGUUCAAUCGAUGAUGAGAUUCGUUUGCUCUUUCCAUAGCAAUCGAGGUUUUAAAAGGCGGGGUUGCUAACCCCAUGCCCAACCCUCCUCCUUUCUCAUCCGGCCUUGGGACCGGCAAUGGCAAGUUUUUAUCAGCACACAAUAUCAUCAGCUAACUCACAAUUUUUCAUACAGUCAUUUUCUCCAGUGAUCAGUACUUCUUUUAUUAUGUCAUUUUCCUUACAACUCCCAUUGUAGCACAUCUUUGUAAUGUGAUACUAUCACCAGAAUGUGGUGGUAACACACCUACAACAUGUUUGUUGACAUCUUUGAUUCCACUAAUGGAGUUUCAGU